RNAcentral lists this long non-coding RNA (507 nucleotides) under Bos taurus (domestic cattle). RNAcentral's name for it is "long non-coding RNA NONBTAT015448". The record is from RNAcentral. Lineage: Eukaryota; Metazoa; Chordata; Mammalia; Artiodactyla; Bovidae.
CCUUUGGACAGCUUCACAGACGAUGAGGCUGGAGUCCUGGAUGGAGCUUAACAAACUUGUUCCUGAAAAUGGAACACGCUUCACAGCCUCUUUCAUCUGAGGGAGAGAAUUCCUGUGCUACCAUAAAAAUAAUUUUGGAAAGAAAUGCAUCUGCUCUCAGAAAGUGUCUGCCAAGAUGUGGCCCGAUGUAAUUUAAAAUGGCUAAGACAAUCAGCUCGAAAAUUAAGGUUUCUAAUGGGAACACCUACUCAGCCCUAAUAAUAGGGGAACUACCAUCAUAAUUAUAAUGUGGUGGAAGCAGGCACAUCAUUAACUAACUUUUCUCAGCUACUGCAAUUAACGAGCAUCAAUAGAUUGAGUAAAUUAUUAAUAACCCACACAUGCUCCAAUGCACACUGCUGGCUGGUUUUUUUUUUUUUCCUCCAAGUAAGAAGCAAAAGUUAACAGCUGAUAUCCAAACAACCUUUGAUUUAUCUCUUUCACAACAGUACUGUACUUUUCAGUAAU